UUUGUCCACAGAAAACAGAGGUGGGGCCAGAAAAGAGUACGGAAUCUCCACAGAGUUGUGUAAAAAAUGGCUCGAUACCAAGCCGUACAGUUCAGUUCUGUAUGUAUCAUUUGGUUCACAAAACACAAUAGCCACAUCACAAAUGAUGAAAUUGGCAAUGGCUUUAGAGGCUAGUGGCAAGAAUUUCAUUUGGGUUGUUAGGCCUCCGAUUGGCUUUGACAUAAAUUCUGAGUUUAAAGCCAACGAGUGGCUGCCUCGAGGAUUCGAAGAAAGAAUCAAAUGUUCAGGACAAGGGCUAGUGGUACACAAAUGGGCACCUCAGGUGGAGAUUUUAUCUCAUAGGUCUGUAUCUGUAUUUUUGAGUCACUGUGGAUGGAACUCUGUGCUUGAAGCUUUAAGUCAUGGGGUGCCGAUAAUAGGGUGGCCAUUGGCAGCAGAGCAGUUUUACAAUUCUAAGCUGUUGGAAGAAGAGAUUGGGGUUUGUGUGGAGGUAGCUAGAGGGAAGAGCAGUGAGGUUCUGAAAAAAGACAUAGCGGCAAAAAUUGAGUUGGUGAUGAAUGAGACUGAGAAAGGAAUAGAGUUGAGAAAGAAUGCUUAUGAGGUUAGGGAGAUUAUUAAGAAUGCCGUUAAAAAUGAAGAAAAUUUUCAGGGUUCUUCAGUGAAAGCCAUGAAUCAAUUCCUGAAUGCUGCAUCGAUGGUGAAGGAGACAAUUAAUUGAUCAAAGAACGAAGUUUUUGAUGCAUGAACCUAGCCAUUUUAGUGGUGUUACUUGAAAAGGAGUUAAUGACGCAUCUUUUUUUUCUUUUUUGGGUUUGGCCAAUCUUAUAAUAAUUGGUGGCCGGCACGGCAUUCCUCAUUAUUCGUACUCACUUUUUUUGCUAUUAGAUUUGUUUAACGUGGAUGUGUCGGUAACUUUUUGAAUGUUUGAAUAAUUUUCAAAACUUCUAUUUGAUAUCCAAAAUUUUUGUAUUAAAUUUUCUAUUGGUUCUUGUUCUAAUGCUUGUAAAAAUAUUUUUAUUUCUUAAUUUCUUCUUUCACCUACUCUAAUUUCUUCUUUCAACUACUAAAGACCUUCACAAUAUGCGAAAAGCCACUUUUUGAAAUUAUAUAUUCCAAUGUGUUCAGUAUUAUUAUUUACCAUUGAAUCAUCUACAUAAGAAAAGAUGCUAGUUUCUCUUCCUUUGUUAAUAUCUUUACUACAUAUUAAUUAAACAAUUAAGGAGUUUUUUGCCGUACAAUUUCUGAAAGCUUGCUCGCUUAUUGUAUGCAAACGUUGAAGCAACUGAACUUCUCAUUACUCAGAGUGAUUCAUGGAUCUUAGAGGUUAGAAAAAUCACAUGUUCUUGGUGAUUCAUCAUUCACGUCCACUUUCUAUAGAACCAAUCAAUACCUGUCAACUAUUCCUUAAUUACACUGUCUUGUUUGGUAUUGUUUUUCAAAUAAUAUUUUUGUAUUUAUUUUGUAAUAGAGAAAUGAUUAAUUUUUUGUGGAUUUGAAAAUGUGUUUGGUAGUUUGCUUUUAUAAUAAUACUUAAAAAUGGAAAAAUAAAAAUAAGUUUGGUUAUUUGUUUGGAAAAAUGAUAAUAAUGAAAAUGAAAGGGUGUUGAAAAAGAAGUUAUAUAAUAAUGAAAGAUGAUGGGAAAAAAAACUUUUAAAAGUUGCUAUUAAAAUAAGAAAUAUAUUUAUUCAUAUAAUUUAAAAAUAAUGUAGUUAAAUUAAUUAAUAAAUAUUUAAGUUGGCAGGUCCUUCAACCAUAAAGAGACAACUUCAGCCAUAAACAAACAACACAUAAGUGACAGUUUCGAUGACUUUUCAUAAACAAAAAAAUGUAGAACAAAUUUUACAAAUUUUAUUGUUUUCUAUUUUCAUGAAGGGAAGACACAGAAUGAGAAUGAUUUGUUGUCAAAGAAUCCAAACAUUGCUGGAAAACGGUACAACCAGACAAGUUUUCCUUUGUUUUAUUUUUGAAAAACAGAAAAGACCAAUUUGGAAACAGUACCAAACAGCCUUUUGAAUUAUGAUUUAGGAUGGGGGGUUUUGUUUGAUUUUGACUGAAUUAUAUGAUAAUUCAAGAAUAUUACCUCUACCUAUUUGCAUGUGGAAGUAUGGCAAUAAAAUGAUUCUUCCAAUCAAAAUAAGCCAUGUGUCAAUGGUACAACAAAAUUACCAAACAAUUUUUUUUUAAAUUUGAUUUUUAGUUUUUAAAUUGUGUAGGGAUAUUUGAACCCAGUAAACUACUCAUUAAACCAUUUACUAGAUAAACUCACCCUCAUAUUUCGAAAUUUAAAAUUUUACUCAACAAACUCACAUAAAUACUCAAUAAACCCUUACUAAACCCAAAUUGUAUAAUAAUAGUGUAUUUAUUCACUAAACCCAUUAAAUUUAUUUAUGAAUCCUUAAUGAAUGUUUCAUUGAAUUUCUUAUAUAGUUAUUCAAAACCUAGAAAAUUCCAGUAGCCCAUCAACCACUAAAUAUAGACUCAUGUUGGCAAUGCCAUGAUCAAAGUAAGAAGAGGAUCCAUUCACCUCAAAAUCAAAAUAUCACCUCUCAAGUAAGCUAAAUGAUUGAUGUUUAAGAAAAGGACCACAAACCAAACAAAUUAAAGAGCAACAUCUUUCAUUUUCAGCCAAGUACUUUACAAAAACAAAAAGAGAAGAAGGUGGAAAGCACUAAGACAACACUAGAGGAUAUUUUUGUAGUAUACUAGUAUAAGUGGCCCAAAAAAAUAAAAAUCAUUCUUUAGUUGAUCAAGGUUUAACAAAAGUACAUUGAAUGUGAAUAUGGGUUCAAAAAGUAUAUGUUUUUUUUUCUUUUUUAUUAUAUUUUAGUGUCUAUAAUUAUAAUUUAAUUUAGAAAUAUUUUAAUUAUUAAAAAUUAUUUUUAAAUGUAGGUUUAAUGAGUAGUUUAGUGAGUUUAAAUAACCAUAGGAUGGUGAAAGUUAAACUUAAUCAUUGGUCGUUGAGAAAGAUCAAAAUUACCAAAAUGACCCCAAUUCCCUCCCUUAUCACUUAUUCCUCUGCUUUUUCUCCUCCUAAUGAUCCUCAUCAACAGCAAUGGCGCAAAGAAAAGAGAAUAUAGUGAUGUUCCCAUUCAUGGCACAGGGCCAUAUAAUCCCCUUCCUAGCAUUAGCCCGUCGCUUGGAAGAAACAAACAAAUACACCAUAACUCUUGUUAACACCCCUUUAAACCUUAAGAAGCUUAAAUCAUCUCUCCCUCAAAAUUCCUCUAUUCACCUUCUUGAAAUUCCUUUCAAUAGCGUAGAGCAUGACCUCCCUCCAUGUACUGAAAACACAGACUCUAUUCCGUAUCAUCUCUUACCAAAAUUCCUUCAAGCAUCAGCAUCGCUCGAACCCCACUUCAAGAAACUAAUCUCUGAACUUGUCAAUGAGCAAAAUGGCCAAAAACCACUUUGUAUCAUCACUGAUACGUUCUUAGGUUGGUGUAAAGAGACAGCACAAGAGUAUGGUAUUUUUCAUGCUAUAUUCAUAGGAGGUGGUGGCUUUGGCUUUGCUUGUUUGUACUCGAUGUUGCUAAACCUACCUCACCGCAGCACGGAUUCUGAUGAAUUUCUGUUGCCGGAUUUUCCAGAAGCUUCAACACUUCAUGUAACACAGAUAUCUCCUUACUUACGUGCUACCGAUGGAAGUGAUUCUUUUUCAGUGUUUUAUAAGAAGUUGCUUCUUCUAUGGAAGGAUGCAGAUGGAAUUUUGGUUAACACGGUUGAGGAACUUGACAAGAUUGGACUGAUGUAUUUCAAGAGAAAAUUUGGCCGGCCGGUUUGGCCAAUAGGGCCUGUUCUUUUGUCCACGGAAAGCAGAGCUGGGGCCAGAAAAGAGUACGGAAUCUCCACAGAGUUGUGUAAAAAAUGGCUUGAUACAAAGCCGUACACUUCAGUUCUGUAUGUAUCAUUUGGUUCACAAAACACAAUAGCUGCAUCACAAAUGAUGCAAUUGGCAAUGGCUUUAGAGGCUAGUGGCAAGAAUUUCAUUUGGGUUGUCAGGCCGCCGAUUGGCUUUGACAUAAAUUCUGAGUUUAAAGCCAACAAAUGGCUGCCUCGAGGAUUUGAAGAAAGAAUCAAAUGUUCAGGACAAGGGCUAGUGGUACACAAAUGGGCACCUCAGGUGGAGAUUUUAUCUCAUAGGUCUGUAUCCGCAUUUUUGAGCCACUGCGGAUGGAACUCUGUGCUUGAAGCUUUGAGUCAUGGGGUGCCGAUAAUUGGGUGGCCAUUGGCAGCAGAGCAGUUUUAUAAUUCUAAGCUCUUAGAAGAAGAGAUGGGGGUUUGUGCGGAGAUAGCAAGAGGGAUGAGUUGUGAGGUUCUGAAAGAGGACUUAAGUGCAAAAAUUGAGUUAGUGAUGAAUGAGACUGAGAAAGGAACAGACUUGAGAAACAAAGCUAAUGAGGUCAAGGUGAUUAUUAAGAAUGCUGUGAGAAAUGAAACAAAUUUUAAGGGGUCUUCUGUGAAAGCCAUGGAUCAAUUCUUGAAUGCUGCAUUGAUAAUGAGACAGACGGAAAAGGGAGCAUCAAACAUCAAAGGAUGAGGUUUGAUUUUGCGUGGAAGUAAGUCUCCAUUGCCAUUUCUGUCAAUGAAAAAUAAUGUCAUCUUUUAACGAGACAGUUUUUGGAAAAUUCUUGAAGUAAUGUUAAGUUUUGGGAAAAUUCUUGAAGUAAUGUUAUCUUUGUAUUAACUUUCGAUCAAUAAUAUGAAAUUUAAUUUUAUAUAAAUUAAUCCCAUACCAAAGAGCCACCUCUGUUUUUUGUGACUACAUCUAUCGAGAGUUUGAGUUUAAAGCUUGUUAUUUCCGAGUGGGAUCAAGAAUUUAUAGAGCAUAAUUCCUUUUUUUUUUUUUUUUUUUUGAUAGAGCAUAAUUCCUUAGUAUUUAAUGUUUUCAAUAAAUGAAAGUAAGAUUGGGCCGGAAAAACAUCACGCACGAUCCACAUCAAGCCCAACCCAGACCAUAUCAUUUGGGCUGGUUUGAUAAGGGAAACUCAAUCUAUAAUAAAUUUCGGCAGGGAUUGGGUUGAUGAUUUUCACAAAAUAAUUUCUAAAAUGAUAAAUCGAUAAAUUACUGUUGAAAAAAUAAUAAUAAAAGGUAGAAAUCUGCAUCUCUUGAUUUAUCAAUGGCACCAUCAUCGUCAAUGACCAAGCUUCUGAUAGUGGCUAUAACGAUAUUUGUAAGUUUUGGCUAAAUGGGAUUGCCACCAUUAAAUUUUUUAGUUAUUUGUAUCUUAGAUUUUUCUAAGAUCAUAAUAUGUCAAAAUAAAUUAUUGAAUCUAAAAGGAAAAAAAAAUUGAACUAACUGUACUUUUUUUUUUAAUGGAAAUGCAUUUUGAUUAAAGUAUAGUAAAACGUUAAUAGCAAGAAUAAACAUGACUUUUCAUAUGAAAUUUUGGUUCAAUCGCAUGCUGUAAAUUUCAAAAUUUGGGACGCCAUAAAUUUCAAAGUUUGAGAAACAAAAAAGUUAUGAGAUUUUUCUAAAUAUGUGCAUUGAGAUCUCCUUCUUACCAUUCCUUAAUUACAUUUUUUUUUGUUGAAUUAUAUUGUGUUUUGUGGUCACUUAAAAUAGGAUUCAACUUUAUACCAUUGAACCAAUCAUGUUAAAAUGUUGGAUGAAAUUGAAUUAAAAUUAUUCAUAGCAUUAGAUGGAGAUUGAGAUUUUAUAAACAAAUGUUGGAUGGUGAUUGGAGAAAAGAGAUAUUGCAAAUGGCGACGCUGAUCGGAGAAAACAAAAAUACCCUAAAGUAUAUAAACGCUUGGUUUCGCAAUGAUAUAUAUUGUCUGAUUUAUUGAAAUUUGCUUUAAAGUAUACUCUAAUUUACUGGAUUGCUUGAAAAAAUAAAGUGUAAUGUUAAUCGCAUCUCGUAGAUUUGUAUGCAAAAUAAAUUUUAAUAUAAUAUUUUAAAUUAAUUAAAAUAACAGUAAUUUUCCAUUACAAUAAUAAAUCGUCUUUAAUUAUUUAUGAAGACAAAAUUUGGGCUAUUUUCAUAUUGAAAGCACAUAUACUCUUUGUCUGCAGGGGCGACCCUCCAAGACUGAGACCAUCUAAAACUUGACUCAACAACUCAGCAUCGUAUAUAUAUUCCCAAAAGAUGAAAGCUUUGGUUUCCCAACUAAGUCACCCACCUGUGCUUUUCCCCUGCGUAUUUAGGGAUGGCAAAAAUCCCUACGAAGACGGGUAUUUUCGGAGAUUUUUUCCAUUCAGAGAGAAUAUGAGGAUAAUUUCAUACCCAAUUUCUUAUUCAGGAAAGGGACAUAGAAAUUUUUUAAUUUCUUAUUCGGGGAGGGGACGGGGAUGAGGUGGAAUCCUCAUCCCCUACCCAUUUCCCCAUUUUAAUUUUUAAUUUAAUUUUUAUUUUUUAAAAUUACUAGUAAAUAAAUAAUAAAAUUUGAAUUAUAAAAUUAUAAGUAUUGGUAAAAAUAAAAAAUAUCAAAAUAUUUAUAUUAUUAAACUUUUAGGCCUAAUUAACUAAUUAAAGUCCUAAAUUUUUAUUUAAGACAUUAAAAAGACCGGACAUAUUCUAUUAGCCCAAAAUUUUUAUUUUUAUUUUAAUAUUCAUUAAAUAUUUUAAACUUAAAUCUAUUUUUUAUUUAUCUUAAAUCUAUUUUUUAUUUAUUUUUAGAUGUUAUAAUUGCCCACAACAAAUCACAAUUUUAAUAUCCAAUCUAAUUUAAUAUUUGCUCUUGAUUUGUUUCGACUUAACUAUUGUGUUGUAAAGGGAAUAGUCCACAUUUAUAAAGUGCUCACGCCACCAUUGAAAAGUUAAUUUUGAAUCUAAAUUUGAUUUUAUUUGUAACAAUUUUGUAUUAGGCUAUUAAUUUGUUCAUGAUAGUUUGUAUCCCUUGCAUGCUGCGUUACUUACUAAUUUAAUAUAUGUGACUUUUGUAAUGGAUAUUAAUGUAAGAUAUAUUUCGAAAUUUACUUUUAUUUGAAUUUUUUUAUUUUAAUAUGAUUAACUCAAAAUCGAAAACAAAAAAAAAUGUAUUAGUUAUUCAGGGAUCGGGGACCCUCGGGGAUCCCCUGUUAUUAUUCGGGGAGGGGAUGAUGAUUCUCUUAAACAAUUGUGACGGGGAUGAAGAGGGGACGGGGAUAUACGCAAAAUAUCGGGGAUGGGUACGGGGAGAUUGGUCCUCUCCCCUCCCCUCCCCAUUGCCAUCCCUAUGCGUAUUGGUGUUGGAUCAAUGUUGUAUAUGCCUUCGCUACAAAAUUAGACAAUUUUAAAAAUUUUGGUGAUUAUGAUCCUAUUUAGGACUGAAUUGUUGUAACUUUUAAAGUACAAGUUUUGUGAAAAAAAAAGAUAUAAUUAUGAAUUAAGAGUAAAUAAUAUAUAGUAAACAUAAAUUUUAAAUAAUAAUUUUACUAAAAUUAUUAAAGAUUUAUUAGACUUUUCAUCACAUAAAUAUAAAAUCAAAUCAAAUUAGCUUUUAAAAUAUAACAGUUAAUGUUUACCAAAUACUUUAAUACUGUAACUUUUAAGGUAUAACUGUCCAACCUUAAUUCUAAAUAUAGUCUAUGAGUGUGUUUGGGAGUGAUGCGAGACAACUCGGUUGCUAAUGUAUUUGGUUACAUCUUACAGCUAAACUUUGACAGCUCAACAGUUUAAAAGUUAAAGUUUUUACUCUACAGCUAUAAUUUUUACUCUACAACAACUGCAACUUAAAAAUUACAGUACCUUACUUCCAAACACACCUUAUAUCUAUCACAAACUUGUUCAGAUUACUAACUAAUUAUGCGUUAUUUAACAUAGUAGAAUUCAGUAAUUCACUUAUUAUUAAUUUUUUGUUUUAGAUUUAGGUCUCUUGACCAUCUUUCACCGAUACAAACUGUUUUAUUACAUACCAAAACUGUUAAAAUCAAGGACGGAAGCAGCAUUGGUGCUACUAGGAUUAGUUGUCCCCACUUAAUUAAAAAAAGUAUUUAUUAAUCUAUUUUAUGCUUAAGUCUCACCCUGUAAUCUUUUAUCUUGAUUUCAUUGUUCAGUCCAUUUAUCCUUUAAAAUUAUUUGAACAACUCAGUAACUUGAAAUUAAAAGCCUAAUAGCCUUAAUUCCAGUAUGUUGCCAAAAAAAAAAAAUUAAUUAGCAUUGAUAAUAAAAUUAUUGCGCAAUCAACUCAUAAAAAAUUUAUAUAUAUAUAUAUAUAUUAUGAGUGAAAGAUAUAAUCUUAUAGUUAUUAUUAUUUUUAAAAAAUUACCCCCAUAGAACAAAUUUCUAACUUCAUUCCUUUUUAAAGUAACUCACGUUAUUUUAAAUUUUCAACAAAAGUCAAAGACAAAUAGGUAUAAAUAAUUAUUUUAAAUUUUUUAUUAAAACUUAGCAGUUUGAGAAAAUUUUAUUAAAUAUGAAAUAAGAAAUGAAAUACCAAAUUCAGAGAAUUUAAUUACAUUAUUUUUUCCCAGUUGGAAAUAUGUUGGAAAGAAAUGCCUUCAAAAUUUGCCAUUAAAAUAAGAAAUAUGUUUAUUAAUAUAAAUUAAAAAAUAAUGUAAUUAAAUUGAUUAAUAAAUAUUUGAUUUGGUUGGUCAUUUAACCAUAAAGUGACAACAUACAAGCGACAGAGUUGACGACUUUUUGUGCAGUGUGGAGCCCAUUCUAGACACAAAAAGUUAUGGAACAAAUGGUGCCACCAAACAAAUUUUUACUUCUAUGAAAGGGAAUCAAAAAAUGAGAAUGAUUUGAUGUCAAAAGUCAGUAUGAUCCAAGCAAUGCUGCAAAACGGUGCCACCAAACAAAUUUUUCAUUGUUAUUACGUUAAAAGACAGAAAAAAAAAAAACAAUUUGGAAACAGUACCAAGCAGCCUACUAAAAUUCUCGAAUUAUUUAGGAUUGGGGUUUUCUUUGAUGUUUAAUGAAUUAUUAUUGGCAAAUUGUAGUGAGUCAACAAUUGAAAUUAUAUUGAUCAAAUUGUAUCAGAACAUGAAUUCAUAUAAGUAAAUAGUGAGUAAAAGUUACUAGAUAGUCUGCAGUAAUAAAAUAAACAAUAGAAAAGAAAAUGAAAAAUAGAAAACUUAGAAAAAAAAAAAAGAGGCCUGUUAAACAAUAGUUUCUUUAAAACAAAUUUAUCACCUAUUACAGUGAUGUUAGAUUCAUUGGUAUUUGUUUUUCAAGAUACAACAGGAACAAAUUAUUUGUCAAACACAUACAAAUAAUUUCGGUGAACAUCAACAAUGUAGAAUCUCAAUCAAAACAUAACGUUAGAGGGAAAAAAAUUUAUUUUCUUUUCAAGUGUUCUGUGUGUUUGUUGUAUAUAAAACAUAAGAGAAAUAUUGUUUUUUUUAUAUACAUGAGGGUAUGACUGUUGAAUAAUAAAAUUGAAUAUUUGAAUUCUAUAUUUAAUUUAAUUUGCUUCUGUAAUAGCCCGUUGAAUUCAAAAUAUUUAAUUUUGUAACAACUCAAAAUUUAUUCACAAAUCAAACUAUUUUUUAUUUUUAAUUUUGAAAACUGUUACAAAAUUUAAAAGGAAAUAAAAAAAUGUGGUCAUGCAGGCUUGAGUGAUUUUUUGGUCGACAUUCGCAUAUGCAAGACGCUUGGGUGUACACGAGUUCAACCAAAUUGAGUUUGGAUUGCACUUCCCCUCCCCCCACAAGUGGCGUAGAGAAAACCUCUAUCUUUAAAAUUCUUAUUCAUGUAUGGAUAGGUAUCUAUAUAUAAACACAAAUCCCUUAGCUUAUUUUUUCUAUGUGAGAUAAGUUUUAUUUUUUUUCAAAUUUCUAACUUCAAGAGUGCACUUUGAGAGUCAAUUUUCUCAUUCACCCAAGCAUGAUUUUGAAUAUAUAUAAAUAUAUCAUUCUAAAGCGUUCACAGAAUAGAAUCCAAACCUCUCAAUAUUUUCAUUUUUGUUAAGUGGGUCCCACUCAAAAUGUGCCCUCCAAAAUAGCAUACUAAUAUGCUAUUUUUCAACAACUAUAUGAUAACAAAUUAACAAUAAUGAUAAAGUCAAAAUUAGUUUUGUACAACCAAUGGGUCAUUUGUUUUUUUUUUUUUUUGACUUAAUGACUUAAUUGAAUUUGUUAAGUCAUUAAAUCUAUUUAUUUUUUUCAACUUAAUGAAAAUUUUCAGUCAUUAGGUCAUUAAGUUAUUAAACUAAUUUUUUUAAACUUUUUGUUUAAUCUAAAAAGUCUGAAUGAUAUAAUUAAAAGAUAUUCUCCAAAAUAUCCCUAUCUAAUUAAUUAAUUUUCAUUUUUACCUAAAUAAAAUUUAAUAAUGAGCAGUAUUACCCAUCUCUAUAUAACUUGUGAUAAUAUAUAGUGGUAAACUAUUAUUUUUUUAUCUUUUAAUUUUUUUUCAAAUUAGCAUUAUUUAUCUUCAUAAUUUGUUAUGAAUAUUAUUCAUAUAAAAAUAUCAUAAACUAUAAUAAAUUUGAUAAACAUAUAUAAUAUAGAAUACUAAAGAGUUGUAUUCAAUCGAAUAUGAUUUAUGUUAUAAUCAUAUAUUAUCUUAUUUAUAUUCUUUGAGAUAUUUAUUUAUUUGUUUAACAUUUAUAAUUUGUAAGGGUAUAAAUGUAAAAAUAUCCGUUGUCAGAUUUUUUAAGUAAAAAAAAACUUAAUAUUUAUUUUUAGUGAUUCAAAUAAAAAAUAAACAUAUCAUUUAAAUUCAUACAUUUAGCUCUAUUAAGAAUUAAAACUAAUUUAGAUCUAUUCAGAUUUAAAAAAAAAAAAACAAAUACCACUUAAAUAUAUAAAAAUUAAUGUAAUAUGAAGAAAUUAAUUGAAAAGGGAUAACAAUUAUCUUUUUCAAAUAUGUUGAGUCAUGAUGAUUUUAUACAAACAAUCUCCUCAUGAGAUUAAAAUGAGCAAUGUGUCAAGGGUAUAGCAAAAUUAUCAAAAUGCUCGGUUUGUUAAAUUUAAUUUUCAAUUUUUAAAUUUAGAAAGUCAAAAGUCAAACUAAAUCAUUCGGUCUUUAAAAAAAGCAAAAAUACCAAAAUGACCCCGCUCCCCUUCUUAACCACCCGAUCCUCCACAAUUUCUCCUUAUCCUCUCAUCAAUAGCAAUGGCACAAAGAAAAGAAAACAUAGUGAUGUUCCCAUUCAUGGCACAAGGCCAUAUAAUCCCUUUCCUAGCAUUAGCCCUUCACUUGGAAAAAACAAACAAAUACACCAUAACUCUUGUUAACACCCCUUUAAACCUUAAGCAACUCAAAUCAUCUCUCCCUCAAAAUUCCUCUAUUCACCUUCUUGAAAUUCCUUUCAAUAGCGUAGUGCAUGACCUCCCUCCUUGUACUGAAAACACAGACUCUAUUCCAUAUCACCUCUUUCCAAAAUUCCUUCAAGCAACAGCAUCGCUCGAACCCCACUUCAAGAAACUAAUCUCUGAACUUGUCAAUGAACAAAAUGGCCAAAAACCACUUUGUAUCAUCACUGAUAUGUUCCUUGGUUGGUGUAAAGAGACAGCACAUGAGUAUGGUAUUUUUCAUGCUAUAUUCAUAGGAGGUGGUGGCUUUGGCUUUGCUUGUUUCUACUCUUUGUGGGUAAACUUGCCUCAUCGGAAAACGGAUGCCGAUGAAUUUCUGUUGCCGGAUUUUCCAGAAGCUUCAACACUUCAUGUAACACAGAUAUCUCCUUACUUACGUGCUACCGAUGGAAGUGAUUCUUUUUCAGUGUUUUAUAAGAAGUUGCUUCUUCUAUGGAAGGAUGCAGAUGGAAUUUUGGUUAACACGGUUGAGGAACUUGACAAGAUUGGACUGAUGUAUUUCAAGAGAAAAUUUGGCCGGCCGGUUUGGCCAAUAGGGCCUGUUCUUUUGUCCACAGAAAAUAGAGGUGGGGCCGGAAAAGAGUACGGAAUCUCCGCAGAGUUCUGUAGAAAAUGGCUUGAUACAAAGCCGUACAGUUCGGUUCUGUAUGUAUCAUUUGGUUCUCAAAAUACAAUAGCUGCAUCACAAAUGGUGCAAUUGGCAAUGGCUUUGGAGGCUAGUGGCAAGAAUUUCAUUUGGGUCGUUAGGUCUCCGAUUGGUUUUGACAUAAAUUAUGAGUUUAAAGCCAACGAGUGGCUGCCUCGAGG
RNAcentral lists this long non-coding RNA (11986 nucleotides) under Citrus maxima (pomelo). RNAcentral's name for it is "long non-coding RNA (CMAX_LNC000487)". The record is from RNAcentral. Lineage: Eukaryota; Viridiplantae; Streptophyta; Magnoliopsida; Sapindales; Rutaceae.